UAUGUAUGUUAUUUUUCUUUAUACGAAAAUGGGAAUGGAUAAUGGCAAUUAUGUGUUUUUUAAUUAAAUGAAAUGAGAUUUAGAAGCACAGCUGAAUAAAUGACCAAAUACACUAAAUAUAUGCACCGAAUAGAUAGCACCUUAAUGACAUAUGAAUUACCUUUAGCUCAACUUAUAUUUAUAUUGUCUUUGGGACAACACUUGAUAUACACACAGCCUUUGAGGUAUAUAUCAGGUAGUAGCCCUUUGGGGUAGCUCUGCACACGUGAAUAACUAGUAUUUUUAUUGCUCUUAGGUUAUUGUUAUGUCAUUAUAGAGCCCAAGAUGUCAGCAAUGCUCUCAGACUACUAAAGUUUAUUAUUGCGCCUGAUAUGCUAGCAUUAUCUAGAG
This 390-nucleotide unclassified non-coding RNA is filed under the name Hevea brasiliensis (rubber tree). The record is from RNAcentral. Lineage: Eukaryota; Viridiplantae; Streptophyta; Magnoliopsida; Malpighiales; Euphorbiaceae.